Oncorhynchus kisutch (coho salmon) is the source of this 1632-nucleotide long non-coding RNA. The record is from Ensembl. Lineage: Eukaryota; Metazoa; Chordata; Actinopteri; Salmoniformes; Salmonidae.
CCAGGUUACCUCCUUACAACAGGCAGGUUCUGUCCACUCCCCAGGUUACCUCCUUACAACAGGCAGGUUCUGUCCACUCCCCAGGUUACCUCCUUACAACAGGCAGGUUCUGUCCACUCCCCAGGUUUACCUCCUUACAACAGGCAGGUUCUGUCCACUCCCCAGGUUACCUCUUUACAACAGGCAGGUUCUAUCCACUCCCCAGGUUACCUCCUUACAACAGGCAGGUUCUGUCCACUCCCCAGGUUACCUCCUUACAACAGGCAGGUUCUGUCCCCUCCCCAGGUUACCUCCUUACAACAGGCAGGUUCUGUCCACUCCCCAGGUUACCUCCUUACAACAGCCAGGUUCUGUCCACUCCCCCAGGUUACCUCCUUACAACAGGCAGGUUCUGUCCACUCCCCAGGUUACCUCCUUACAACAGGCAGGUUCUGUCCACUCCCCAGGUUACCUCCUUACAACAGGCAGGUUCUGUCCACUCCCCAGGUUACCUCCUUACAACAGGCAGGUUCUGUCCACUCCCCAGGUUACCUCCUUACAACAGGCAGGUUCUAUCCACUCCCCAGGUUACCUCCUUACAACAGGCAGGUUCUGUCCACUCCCCAGGUUACCUCCUUACAACAGGCAGGUUCUGUCCACUCCCCAGGUUACCUCCUUACAACAGGCAGGUUCUGUCCACUCCCCAGGUUACCUCCUUACAACAGGCAGGUUCUGUCCACUCCCCAGGUUACCUCUUUACAACAGGCAGGUUCUGUCCACUCCCCAGGUUACCUCCUUACAACAGGCAGGUUCUGUCCACUCCCCAGGUUACCUCUUUACAACAGGCAGGUUCUAUCCACUCCCCAGGUUACCUCCUUACAACAGGCAGGUUCUGUCCACUCCCCAGGUUACCUCCUUACAACAGGCAGGUUCUGUCCACUCCCCAGGUUACCUCUUUACAACAGGCAGGUUCUGUCCACUCCCCAGGUUACCUCCUUACAACAGGCAGGUUCUGUCCACUCCCCAGGUUACCUCCUUACAACAGGCAGGUUCUGUCCACUCCCCAGGUUACCUCCUUACAACAGCCAGGUUCUGUCCACUCCCCAGGUUACCUCCUUACAACAGGCAGGUUCUGUCCACUCCCCAGGUUACCUCCUUACAACAGGCAGGUUCUGUCCACUCCCCAGGUUACCUCCUUACAACAGGCAGGUUCUGUCCACUCCCCAGGUUACCUCCUUACAACAGGCAGGUUCUAUCCACUCCCCAGGUUACCUCCUUACAACAGGCAGGUUCUGUCCACUCCCCAGGUUACCUCCUUACAACAGGCAGGUUCUAUCCACUCCCCAGGUUACCUCCUUACAACAGGCAGGUUCUGUCCACUCCCCAGGUUACCUCCUUACAACAGGCAGGUUCUAUCCACUCCCCAGGUUACCUCCUUACAACAGGCAGGUUCUGUCCACUCCCCAGGUUACCUCCUUACAACAGGCAGGUUCUAUCCACUCCCCAGGUUACCUCCUUACAACAGGCAGGUUGGACCUUUUUGAAAGUUCAAAUAUUUUGGUCUUGUUUGCUACAAAUGUAAACUUAAGUCUUCAACUCUUCUCUCAAACAAAUAUGUUUGAACAUGGUCAACAAAAACAGACAUCCAAAUAA